AAGUUUUAUUUACUACCAUGCCUUCUAGAUAUUUUUAUGACAAAUUACAAUGUUUUGAGGAAGAAAAAUCAUUGAAGAAAAAACUACUACUCUCAACAGCUAUAACAAUCAAGUAUUCAAAUAGAUUUAAAAAGAAGAGUUUUGAGUGAUUUAACAUUAUAUGAAUGUUUAAUAAAGAUGUUUGAGGACAAAUUGUGAAGAAUAAAUUCUAUAAAACGAGCUGUACAGUUUAAAAUAAUUCCUGCUCUAAUAUGUAUUACAAAAUUUAAACUGUUAUUAUGAUCACUAUUAUGAUUGGACUGAAUAUUUCGCAUCAUGAUAAUAACAGUUAACAAGGAGCAAUGAAUGAUUGAUAUAGGAAUGUAUCAAAGUUUUUAAGGAGAUUAUCUAUUUGGAAAAACUCAAGCCUUUCAAACUAAAUAUAGUCAGCAAAGAAGAGCUUCUAGAGAAACAACGAUAAGAAUAUCUUACGUCAACUAACAUAGAUUACACUCAGAGUGCUGUCACUGGAUAAGACUCUCCACUCAAGGCACACACCUGUAAAUUCAAACAAUCUAUCUUUUCGGUUUAUUGUACUAAGAAUGUACAAAUAGUUGAUUUUCUCAAAUAAAAAUUUAAAAAAAAUCAAAUUAAGUAAUAUAAUCUGAGUCAGAUCAUAUAUCUUUUAUGGAUCAUUAUAAGUGAUUUUUUUUCUCACUCUUAUUC
Long non-coding RNA from Melanaphis sacchari, 705 nucleotides. RefSeq lists it as uncharacterized. The record is from RefSeq and is a predicted model, not a curated record. The transcript has 5 exons. NCBI's taxonomy places the organism in Eukaryota, Metazoa, Arthropoda, Insecta, Hemiptera, Aphididae.